GGCUACAUCACGUUGAAACACUGGUUCCUGUAUGAUUACCAAAGUUAAGCAACAUUGAACCUGGUCAGUACCCAGAUGGGUGACAGCUUGGAAAUACCAGGUGCUGCAAG
Molecule: non-coding RNA, 110 nt
Organism: Acanthosepion pharaonis
Lineage: Eukaryota; Metazoa; Mollusca; Cephalopoda; Sepiida; Sepiidae
Source: the annotation of a GenBank genome assembly